GGUUUAACUAUGGUAUUUAAAAUCCCUCGCCUUUCGAGGCGUGCCAGUUCAAGUCUGGCUUCGGGCACCA
RNAcentral lists this transfer RNA (70 nucleotides) under Haemophilus influenzae F3031. RNAcentral's name for it is "tRNA-Glu (TTC) (tRNA-Glu-TTC-2-1)". The record is from RNAcentral. Lineage: Bacteria; Pseudomonadati; Pseudomonadota; Gammaproteobacteria; Pasteurellales; Pasteurellaceae.